CUAAUCGGAUUCAGGUCGGUUUGG
Molecule: non-coding RNA, 24 nt
Filed under: Arabidopsis thaliana (thale cress)
Lineage: Eukaryota; Viridiplantae; Streptophyta; Magnoliopsida; Brassicales; Brassicaceae
Source: RNAcentral